Clupea harengus (Atlantic herring) is the source of this 1524-nucleotide long non-coding RNA. The record is from Ensembl. NCBI's taxonomy places the organism in Eukaryota, Metazoa, Chordata, Actinopteri, Clupeiformes, Clupeidae.
GAACCUCCGGUGCAAGAGUAAAGAGUCGCUGGAAUCUGAGUCGUCCAAUCAGACGAGCGGGUACCAGUCUGGGUACCACUCUGAUGAUGCAGAGCGAGGAGAGGAUCCUAUCUACGCCAACGAGGAGAUGAUCCUGAAGAGGGACCCAAUGAAAAGGCCACUGCCCAAGCCUGCUGAGAAAUUUAGCAUGGAUGUACGUUACAGUGCACCGCCUGUUUAGCAUUUAGCUUUCAGAAACAGAAUUCAACAACUUUCAAAGCAAUAAAAUAACACCCUUCACAAAAGCCCUUAAUGUGAUCGCUUAAACCAAUAAGUCAAUAAGCCAACAAUUGAAUUCAAGGAGUGGACAAGCGUGUAACUGUGAUGAUGUGAUUUGUGCAGUCCUUUCUGUUGCCUAGCGAUAAGGCUGGAAGAAAUGAGCGACAAAGCUAUCUAUGAAAAAAAUGACACCUUGUGGAUCCAGGAAUAGUGUUGCCUUUUCUUUGUCUUUCCUUUUUCCACAUAAUUACGUAAUAAGCUAUAAGAUAUUCUGAAACGAAAUAGAAGUGCCUAAGUCCAAUUUUAAAACCCUGGGAUAAUGGCAUCAUUUUUGCAUUUAACUACUCAAAAAUAUUGAGGUCUUUCAAUCAGCCAGCUGUUUUACCCAAACACAGAACUGUCUCUAGGUUAGCCGGUUGCUAAUGUUUUAGAUAUGAGAAACUGAGGUUUUUCUUGGAAUAGAAAGCAAACGCAACACAAUGUAACUCGUGUUCCCUCAGGACUGGAGCUCAAAUAGGAGAGCUUCAAUUCCCUGUGAACCUUCAGCUUCUGCUCAGGUUGUCCUUACGUCGAGUGCCUUGUGGGGGAAAUACCAGUCUGUGCCCUUCAACCUUCUUCAAGCAUGCCCAUGGCACCAGUUCCUAUUAACUCCCAGAUAUUGGCCAGACAUGCCCCCGCUUCCACUUGUUUACAGGGCAGUCUGUCUCCUCACCCACCUCUGUUUCUUUGUUUUGAAAAGAAAUGUGAUAUACUACAUGGGGGAAGAGAUUAUGAUUUUCGAGUGUGUGUUCACAGUCAUUUCUUCUUUUUUUUUAAUUCUUUUUUUUUGUGCUGAUAACAGACUCCUUUUUUUUGUGUGAGUCUUAGAAGUGUAAUCGUGUUUGUGCAGAAACUGGAUGACCCCAGGAGCCUGUUGCCAGGGGGACCCUCCCAGUUCCUGUGACACAGGAAAUAGCAAAUGGAAUGUGAGACAAUCGAGUGAGCAAAUGUUUUCUUUCCCCAUUUUUCUCCGCCUUUUUUUCUCCUCUCCUCUCAAUUGUGUUUAAUAGAGGCAUGGGUUGCCUUUGUCUCUCCGGACUCAGAUCACGAAAUGACAUCAUGUUGAGGGCUUUUCGAUUGUACAGUUUAUUAUGAGAAUUUGUUUCCCUGUCGAAAAAUUCUUGUUUUAUUAUGCUUAUUCUAUUAUUGUUAUUAUUAUUGUUGUUAUUUACUGAUCUUGUAAAAAAAUUAACUAGUUUUAUAAAAAUAAACAUAUUUGCUGAUCAA